CAAGGGAGAAGCUGCAGAAGUGGUUCAGCUGUGCCGUUCACACUGGAUCCUAUUAGGCUCCAGAGUGAGUAUCUUCUGGCUGCACCUUUCCCACCCAGGAAACCCUCCUGCCUACCUCAUGCCAUGCUGCCAUCCUGGUCUGAUACAGCCCCUUCUGUGCUCUGAUACAAGGAUUUCAGGAUCUGUUCCCUCUCCUGGGCUCUGGUUGGCUCUACUCCGGGCAUGAGGGGCUCUCCUGCUCUGACAUCACGUGCUGCAGGUGAGGGUGUUGCCAGAGGGGUCUCAGUUCGCAGCCCUUGGGAGCAAAGGGAUUUGGACGUGCACAACUUCAGCAAUCCCAAGGGCUUAGAGGGAUGUAGCUGAACAGUGUUCUUGGAGUUGGAUCUGAAACAUUGCUCUGGGGAAAACUUAGAAAGAAGGGUGGCAAGGGGGAGCUGGUGUUCUUGAGAAAGGCUUGCUGUAAGAGCUGAAGCCCAGGCAAGUUACACAGCACGGCAGCGUUGGGCAUCGCCAGCACGUUGCUACCACAAACAGUUGCAGGUGAGGAGGAAAAAGCUGGGGCUGCCCCACAGCACAGGCUCAGGGUGAUGCAUGGGGCUGCCCCUGCUGCAUGCCCCCCAUACUCCCCUUUCCCACACAAUCCACCCAGGUCAUGGUGAAAUCCCAUGUGCAGCCUGCACUGAGUGUAAGGGGAAGUGAAUCUGUCCGUCCCCUUUGCUUGCGUGGGUUACAGGAAUUGUUGCUGUGGAGUGAGCGUUGUGGCCAUGGAACAGCCCUGGUGGAGGUGCUGCUGGGGCUGAGACCCCUGUAGCUGCAUGCCUAUGGGGUGUGGCUGCACUGAGCAUCCUUGGGUGCAUUGUUCUUUCUCUCCCCCUCCCCUCUGCAUUUCUCCUUGCAGGAGAGGUUUCAUGCAGGACCUUGGAGGCUCGGUGGUGCACUUCCUGUUAUGGCCGGUGAGCUAUUUGCUGGGAGAGGGGAGCUGGAAGGCAGGGAAGUGGGGAAGAACCCCAAGGCUUGCCAUGCGAUGUGGGGA
This 1033-nucleotide long non-coding RNA is filed under the name Gallus gallus (chicken). Its description in RNAcentral is "long non-coding RNA NONGGAT005210". The record is from RNAcentral. Lineage: Eukaryota; Metazoa; Chordata; Aves; Galliformes; Phasianidae.